Molecule: long non-coding RNA, 2512 nt
Organism: Equus caballus (horse)
Lineage: Eukaryota; Metazoa; Chordata; Mammalia; Perissodactyla; Equidae
Source: Ensembl
GGGAAUUGUCAGCACUCUCCAGGGAAGGAGGGGGCAGGUCUGUUCGGGAUGGGACAGUGAGAGGACAUCAAGCCACAGUGGACUGGGUCUGGGAGCAAAGUUCUUUCCCAAACCUCAGUUAGAAUGGUUUUUGUCACCUGCACACCAAACCAACCUGGAUGACCUGGUCUCUAGCCCAGCUCUCUGCUCAUCAUUCAUGUGAUGCCAAGUCAGGUCUUAGCAUUAUUUCUUCUCAAAAAGAGGCAUGGCGAAGCAUCGAGAGCCAAGCAAAUGAAGACAAUGACCCUCUAAGUAAAUUAGAAAGAUCUGAGCAGAGCAAAAGAUAACUGGUUUUUGUCUUGUAUUGUUUUGUUUUGGUGAGGAAGAUUGGCCCUGAGCUAACAUCUGUUGCCAAUCUUCCUCCUUUUUUCUCUUCUUUUUUCUCCAAAGCCCCAGUACAUAGUUAUAUAUCUUAGUUGUAAAUCCUUCUAGUUCUUCUAUGUGGGAUGGCGCCUCAGCAUGGCUUGAUGAGCGGUGUGUAGGUCCGCGCUCAGGAUCCGAACUGGCAAACCCUGGGCCACCGAAGCGGAGCACACAAACUUAACCACUAUGCCACCGGGCUGGCCCUGAGGUUUUAUUUUUAAAUAUAAAAACAUUGUAUAAGGCAAUUUCAGAAUCAAUAUCAUUAACGGUGUCCUUAAACUAAUAUUCUGUUAGAUAAGUUAUUGAAACUAUUGGUGACCCAGUUUUUUCAUCAUUACCAAAUGGGCAUGUGACAUGACCUUGUAGGACUAAUGUCAAGUUGAUGCAAAAUUACUGAGGAGCUAUAGAAACAUAAAGGGGGGUCACACAAGCAAACAAUAUCACACAGUGGAGAAGAAAGCAAGGGCUUCACAGUCAGUCAGACUUGCAUUUGAAUUCCACCUCUGUGGCUGUGUGACCUUGGGCAGGUUGCUUAACCUCUCUGAGCCUCAGUUUCACCCUUGGUCUAAUGGAGACAAUACUAAACUCUAUGCCACAGGGUUAUCGUGAGGAAUAAAUGAUAUACUACAUGUAAACCGUUUAGCCCAGUGUCAGGCACACAAGAAGCCUUCAAUAACUGAUAGCUACUGUUCGCAGUUUUAUGACAGGUCACCCAGAGAGAGGUCAAUGCUACUUCUUGGUAGGAGGCACCCCUCCAACCCCAUUUCUCACAGUAUAAGCAAUCCCGUGACCUCCCCCUCCCUGCCUCCCCUAAGUCUGUGGGCUGCCUGGUACUGGCCAUCCUUCUCUUUCCUUCUCAUCUUCCCAUCAAAGGUUCACUUUCAAGAUUCAAAGCUUUGGCUGGAAUGAGCUCGCAGCCUCCCAGGACCUCGGAACGAGCGGGCUCUUCUGACCCUUGAAGCUUUUAGUCCCCUCCUUGUCCCAGUAAGUUUGAUCAGGAUGUGGCAUUCAAAGGGCCUCGCCCUACUCCCCUCCAAGGCUUCUUUCCCGGCCUUGGGCGACCCCCGACACUCGCCAUCUGCCCUCUGCUGACCGCCCAGGAGGGACCUCCAGCCUGGCACACCAGGCCCCAGGUGCUGACGGCUGCUCUCUGCGAGGCUUUAUCCUCAGUCCCCCAGGAGCUCUUGGAAGCUGUGCUGUCUGAUGCGGUAGCCGCUAGUCACAUGUGCUUACUUACAUUUAAUUAAUAAAAUUAAAUAAAAUUUGGAAAUCAGUUCCUCUGCCGUACCAGCCACAUUUCCAGUGCUUGGUAGACACACGAGGCUAGGGGCCACCCCUGUGGGGUCCACGUGGCCAUCAUGGCAGAAAGGUCUCCUGAGCAGUGCUGGAACAGGUGAGGAAACUGAGGCAGGGUCGUGCAGCUGUGCAGUCAAGCCAGGACUGGUGCCCAGGCCUCUGAGUCCAAACCACCAGACCUGUCACUUCUGCAAGUGCCCAGCACUGGGCUGGGGUCCAAGGACAGAAAGACGGGUGAACUUAGAGGACAGAGACGAGUAACAAAAAAUGACAGUAUCCCAUAGCAACCCACGGAGCUGUGGGCUCAGGGACACCUCAGCCACUGAGCUGAGAAUUCCUGACCUCUGGACUUCACUCCCCUUGAUCAACAGAACUUUCCAGAACUGCAUUGCCCAAUACGGAAGCCACAGGCUACAGGCAGUUUUCGAGCCCUGGAAAUGUGAUGGGUCUGCCUUGAGACAAAUUUACAACGAGGUCUGUGGCUCACAGUGUGUUUCUACUGGUCGGCCCUGCUCUAGAUGGCCUACUGUGUGCUCGUCCCUGAGAGCUACAGAGGCCGCAGAGCAGAACCAGAAGAGAGUUCGGCUCCUGGCUGCCUGCAGCCGGCUGUGAGAGCCCAGACAAGGGACACGCUGCUCUGGGAUCGGUCUCCGGAGCUGCCCACGCGCUCCGAGCGUCCAGCGGCCCUGUCUUCUGUACAGGGGUCCUGGGAAGCUGCGCACAGGAGAGCCAGGUGCCCGGAUCUGGGGCCUUAAGCAAGAGACUAAUCUUCUCUGCUUCCUCAUCUGUAAAAUGGAAAUAAUAAUGAUCCCUG